AUGAGUGAGAACAGACGAGACCUGCUGUUUACAGUCCUGACCGGCGGACAGACUUUCGGCAGCGGCACCAGACUGGAUGUUGGCAGCAACACUCCUCCUAAAGUGAUCAUCCUGCCCCCGUCCAGUGCAGAGAUCUCCUCUCUGAACACAGCGACACUGCUGUGUGUGGCCAGCGAGGGAUUGCCGUCAGACUGGAGCCUGAGCUGGAAGGUGGACGACAGCAGCAGGGCUCAGGAGAGCAGCGCUGGGCUCCUGCAGAAGGACGCUCUGUACAGCUGGAGCAGCAGCCUGACUCUCUCUGAGCAGGAGUGGAUGAAGAGCGUCUCAGUGAGCUGUGAGGCCACACGGAGCGGCCAGCCUGCAGUCACUGCACAACUGAGGAGAGAUCAGUGUUCAGAUCAGUAGAUCCGCUCAGUCUCUCCUCUGGCUUCUGCUUCAUCCUUCUAGCUGACGUGUCUCUUCUGCUUCUCUGAGUUCAUUCACACAAGAGCAUGCUAUGAUGUUCUGUUAUAACUGAAAUAAAAUCAAUAAUACAGUGUCUGUCUUU
This is a non-coding RNA of Rhinichthys klamathensis goyatoka, 547 nucleotides long. The record is from the annotation of a RefSeq genome assembly. NCBI's taxonomy places the organism in Eukaryota, Metazoa, Chordata, Actinopteri, Cypriniformes, Leuciscidae.